This 2743-nucleotide unclassified non-coding RNA is filed under the name Pectinophora gossypiella (pink bollworm). RNAcentral's name for it is "uncharacterized LOC126377068". The record is from RNAcentral. Lineage: Eukaryota; Metazoa; Arthropoda; Insecta; Lepidoptera; Gelechiidae.
GCCGCGCACGCGUCUGUCUCUCACGCUCACUACUCUGUGCUGCAAGCGUGCCCGCUCGCGGCAUCACGCAUUACUCUGUGCAUGUUCGAAAUUUUAAAAUAUACAAGUUUUUGGAUGCCAUUUUGAAUUUGUUUCUUUUAUAUUUCAAUAAAGGGGUUUUGCGUUCGUAUAUUUUAUCGAAUUUUUUACUUUUUUAAAAGACUGUGUUGUGUGGACAUAUCCGGUGUUCAGUGAUAGUGCUUUAGAUUGGAUUUGCUCUAUUGUAUACGAUCGCAACAUAAUCUACAUUGACACCAACAAACACGAUGGGCUAGCGCUACCACUGCAACUCGAACGUAAAGAUGAACGACAGUCGAGAGCGAAUUCGUCGUGAGAGGGAGAGAGAGAAGAAUACGUAUACCUCUCCCCGUCUCGCCUUGCGCAGAGUGCUGUUACUGUCUGAAGGGAGACAAUUCAGAGAGGCAGCGGCCAUAUUGUCGCGGCUUGGGCCCGGCGUGCUGCAAUCAGUGGCGACAGAGCUGCCGAUAGAUCUGCUUGUUGAGUCCCUGCCGCACUCCGCUCAUCUGCUUGAGACACUUCUUAACAGACUAAUAUCCCUGGAGAUCCUCCCUCGCCCGGACGUGCAAUGCGAGUCAAUCGCAUGGCGGCUGGUGUGCCUGCUGGGCGGCGAGCAGGGCGCGGCGCUGCGUGCGCGCACCACGCGGCUGGCGGCGGCGCUCGCGCAGUACACGCCGCUCGCGAGAGACACUGUCGACACCAGGCGGCGGCAGCUCGACCAAGCUGUACAGGGUCUGGGCACGCACGGUCUGACUGCUGACUCAUCUGGCACGCUGAUAUCGCUCCACGUGGCGAUGAAGAACGAGCUGCAGCGCCACGUCGACGUCUACAAGCAGGCGCUCCACAAACUAGAGGAGCUGUCUCCAGUGACAAUAAACCAGGACCCGGCUUCGUCAUCCCACCAGCGUCUCUUGGCACUCUCUCACGGAGACGUAGAGCGACGGCUGAUCGACAACAAGUCUCUGCUGACCAUAGUGGACAAACCAGCACUAAGGCAGCUGCCGACCCUGGUGUCAGCUUUGGCAGCCAGGGUGGAAAGCGAUAAAGCGGUUCUGGCGUGUGUUGGCCAGAUCAAAAGGAGCGAUCCGACCCUGGAUUUGACAGAUACGAGGCCAGUAGCGGGCGUGCUGAUGAGCUACUCGCGUGGCUGUGCGGCGGUUCUUGAACAGAUGACGGAGGCGGAGCCCCAGGGCUCCGAGACCCGGCACAGCGAGCGCUCGCAGACUGACUCGGCCAGCGACGGAUACCACUCCGACAGUGACGACUCGCACCAACAUCCUGACAGGAGCAAGCUAGUAUCGCAGUACGCAGGGGUGUGGGCGCGCGCGGCGGACGAGGCGUUACCUGCGCUUGCGUCGCUCGAGCCGUUGCGCGCCACGCCGCAUCUCAAGUACAAGAUCGUCUUCUCUGUCGUCGUUCUGUCGUUCCGCGCAGCGAUCAGCCUGCGCGACCGGCGACUCAACGAGGUGAAGACCCUGCUGGGAGCGGAAGGCGACCUUGCUUCAUCAGACCCUGCAAUAGCUAGGCUGCAAGCAGCCGCCCUGAGAGUGCUACAAACCACGGCGCAUAGCUUUCCACUGGGCGAUGCUGAACGGACCGUUGUCAACCAGGUGCUGACGACUCUCCGCGAGUACCCGUGUCUGGGCGGGUGCGCUGCGCUGCACGCGCUCGUAGCCGCCGCCUGCCGCGCCGCCUGGACUAUCAGCCUGCACUCCCCGCCCCUGAGGAUCGAUACCGACUUCACACCUGUGGUGAUGAACCCAGAGAAACACGUGCGCUUCUCCUCAGGCGAGGCUCGCGAGCGCCGCUCUGACCUGAUCAAGUCGUUCGUCUGGCCAGCACUGAUGGACGGGCCUCGCUGCGUCUUCCGAGCUGUUGUGCUCACUUAAGCUCUUGCCAAAAUGUAGAGUCGAAAUGGUGAGUUGUCACACUCCGAGCGCUCGCCACCGCACUUUAUGUGACGCCCGCAGUGUGACAUCACAUUUCUGUUCACCGCACUGCCGGCGGCGUAGCAUUAGCGCCCCGUCACGCCGGAAAUGUGACGAGAGUUAAAUUUUUCAUUACAAUCACUGACCAACCUUGCCAACCCUGGUCACUAAUAGUGACUGGGUCCAAUAACAAGCCACGAUGAUAAGUUAGUGCUAUUAUAAAUGUACUGCAUUUGAACUGCACGCCAGCUGCAAGACUGCUACUAGGAUCCAGUUUGUGUGCGGUUGGCAUAGCUGAGUGGAUGCGAACCAACUGUAAUCUAACAAUAAUAAAAUGCAGUUCUUUUACAGUUCGAUUGUAGUCGGUUAAAAACAUUCUGUUGCAGUCUGGAUUAAAAAAAAUAUAUUAAAAAUGCAAUAUCGCUGUUUGCAUACCGUCCUACCGCUAGGAUAGUUUGAAUGUGAAGAUAAGUUAUUAUUUAUGUAUCAUUACAAUCCAUUUCGUUUUUAACUUAACGUAAGCUCACGACUAUAUUCCUAAUUGGGGUAGUCAGAGGUACGUUAAUCGCCUCACCGAGCUUUCUGUCAGAUCAAUUCCGUUGUUAACUUGACUGAUAUUUUAUCAAGAGAAUAAAACUCAUAUUCUGAUACUAUUUGUUAUAAUUGUUAUACGGUAUUGUAACGAUGGAUUAUUUAAAUCCAACCGGGGGUUAUUUAGGGUUGAUGGGGUUGGUAAUCCACCUCACAACCCACACGAU